CGGGACGGGUGAGUAACGCGUGAGUAACCUACCCUGUACACACGGAUAACAUACCGAAAGGUAUGCUAAUACGGGAUAAUAUAUUUGAGAGGCAUCUCUUGAAUAUCAAAGGUGAGCCAGUACAGGAUGGACCCGCGUCUGAUUAGCUAGUUGGUAAGGUAACGGCUUACCAAGGCGACGAUCAGUAGCCGACCUGAGAGGGUGAUCGGCCACAUUGGAACUGAGACACGGUCCAA
RNAcentral lists this ribosomal RNA (236 nucleotides) under uncultured bacterium. Its description in RNAcentral is "partial 16S ribosomal RNA". It matches the Rfam family "Bacterial small subunit ribosomal RNA", at positions 100 to 334 of the family's 1533-position model. The record is from RNAcentral.